RNAcentral lists this ribosomal RNA (782 nucleotides) under uncultured Streptococcus sp. RNAcentral's name for it is "bacterial SSU rRNA". It matches the Rfam family "Bacterial small subunit ribosomal RNA", at positions 64 to 833 of the family's 1533-position model. The record is from RNAcentral. Lineage: Bacteria; Bacillati; Bacillota; Bacilli; Lactobacillales; Streptococcaceae.
ACGCUGAAGGAGGAGCUUGCUUCUCCGGAUGAGUUGCGAACGGGUGAGUAACGCGUAGGUAACCUGCCUGGUAGCGGGGGAUAACUAUUGGAAACGAUAGCUAAUACCGCAUAAGAGUAGAUGUUGCAUGACAUUUACUUAAAAGGUGCAAAUGCAUCACUACCAGAUGGACCUGCGUUGUAUUAGCUAGUUGGUGGGGUAACGGCUCACCAAGGCGACGAUACAUAGCCGACCUGAGAGGGUGAUCGGCCACACUGGGACUGAGACACGGCCCAGACUCCUACGGGAGGCAGCAGUAGGGAAUCUUCGGCAAUGGACGGAAGUCUGACCGAGCAACGCCGCGUGAGUGAAGAAGGUUUUCGGAUCGUAAAGCUCUGUUGUAAGAGGAGAACGAGUGUGAGAGUGGAAAGUUCACACUGUGACGGUAUCUUACCAGAAAGGGACGGCUAACUACGUGCCAGCAGCCGCGGUAAUACGUAGGUCCCGAGCGUUGUCCGGAUUUAUUGGGCGUAAAGCGAGCGCAGGCGGUUAGAUAAGUCUGAAGUUAAAGGCUGUGGCUUAACCAUAGUACGCUUUGGAAACUGUUUAACUUGAGUGCGAGAGGGGAGAGUGGAAUUCCAUGUGUAGCGGUGAAAUGCGUAGAUAUAUGGAGGAACACCGGUGGCGAAAGCGGCUCUCUGGCUUGUAACUGACGCUGAGGCUCGAAAGCGUGGGGAGCAAACAGGUUUAGAUANCCUGGUAGUCCACGCCGUAAACGAUGAGUGCUAGGUGUUAGACCCUUU